RNAcentral lists this RNase P RNA (361 nucleotides) under Bacteroidota bacterium. Its description in RNAcentral is "RNase P RNA component class A". It matches the Rfam family "Bacterial RNase P class A". From Rfam's summary of the family: Ribonuclease P (RNase P) is a ubiquitous endoribonuclease, found in archaea, bacteria and eukarya as well as chloroplasts and mitochondria. Its best characterised activity is the generation of mature 5'-ends of tRNAs by cleaving the 5'-leader elements of precursor-tRNAs. The record is from RNAcentral. Lineage: Bacteria; Pseudomonadati; Bacteroidota.
GCAGCAGAACGGUCUGUCGCUCUUUCGGUAUAGAAAGGGAGGAAAGUCCGGGCAACACAGAGCACCAUGCUUCCUAACGGGAAGGAGUUCGCGAGGGCUGAGUAGCGUAACAGAGAAUAACCGCCACGGUUCGCCGCGGUAAGGGUGAAAAGGUGGGGUAAGAGCCCACCGGUCGGGGCAGCAAUGUCACGAGCCGUACGCCUCAUGGGUUGAAAGAUCAUGUAUACCGACGCACGUAGGGCUGCUCGCCCGAUGUCGGGGGGUAGAUCGAUAGAGCUGCGUAGUGAUACGCAGUCGAGACAAAUGGCAGACAUUCCGCUUCGGUGGAGUACAGAACCCGGCUUAUAGGUCUGCUGCAUUU